Molecule: ribosomal RNA, 465 nt
Filed under: uncultured bacterium
Lineage: Bacteria
Description: partial 16S ribosomal RNA
Rfam family: Bacterial small subunit ribosomal RNA
Source: RNAcentral
GACGAACGCUGGCGGCGUGCUUAACACAUGCAAGUCGAACGGAAAGGCCCGGCUUGCAGUGUACUCAAGUGACGAACGGGUGAGUAACACGUAGGUGAUCUGCCCUCCACUUCGGGUUAAGCCUCUGAAACUAGGUGUAAUACCUGCUAGGAACCAUUUUUAGUGUGAUGGUUGGAUAGUGUUUUCGGUGUUGGAUGAGCUCGCGGGCUAUCAGCUUGCUGGUGGAGUAAUGGACUACCAAAGCGGCUACGGGUGGCCGGACUGUGAGGCUGGACGGCGACCCUGGGACUGAGAGGAGGCCGAGAUUCGGACGGGAGGCAGAAGUGGGGAAUCUUGAAGAAGGGGCGCAGGCUUGAUGAAGAGGGGCUGCGGGGGGGAUGACGGCGUUAGGGUUGAAAACUACUUUCGUUAGGGACGAAGCUUUUCGUGACGGUACCUAGAUAAGAAGCCACGGCUAACUACGUG